CCAAUCCGAAAUAAGCAGGAAAUUCAAAGACCUAUUAAAGGCUAAAGACAAUUAAACGUGAAAAUCAGCUACUAAUCAGCGAGUGUUUAACAUCAGCAGUAGCAAAAUCAACUCUAUUCAAUAGCAUGUGAAAAAGCUCUGGAAGAAAGCGAAUGAUCUGGAACAUAGAUCGAAGGUGAACGAUACGACCCGGUUGAUUCAAUGGGUAGCAUACACAAAAUGGCAGAAAUGACAAUACCAGAAUACUUCGUAAUCAAACAUCACAUUCAACUUCACACCAUGCUGAAUAGUGGUGAUAAGCAAAUGACUGUUUUGAUUUUGAGUAUUUCUUCUUUUUAAAAACAAAUUUCUUAGCUCUUGUGAUUUGUGAUUCUUUCUUUGUUCGCUGCUUGGUGGGGUUGCUCUGGCCUUUUUUUCUUUUUGAAAUGGAAGGCAUUAGGUUCUCAUUGUUAGAGAGUUGCUGGGUACUUUUUGUGUGUGAUUUUGAGAAAUCCAGAAGAAGAAGAAGGGAGCUGGAGGGUGCAUCGUUUGCUCCCUCUUUUUAGAGGAGAAACUCUUUUUUUUUAUU
Molecule: long non-coding RNA, 568 nt
Filed under: Nicotiana benthamiana
Lineage: Eukaryota; Viridiplantae; Streptophyta; Magnoliopsida; Solanales; Solanaceae
Description: long non-coding RNA (NBEN_LNC029407)
Source: RNAcentral